AUUGAACGCUGGCGGCAUGCCUUACACAUGCAAGUCGAACGGCAGCACGGGAGCAAUCCUGGUGGCGAGUGGCGAACGGGUGAGUAAUAUAUCGGAACGUGCCCAGUCGUGGGGAUAACGUAGCGAAAGCUACGCUAAUACCGCAUACGAUCUAUGGAUGAAAGCGGGGGAUCGCAAGACCUCGCGCGAUUGGAGCGGCCGAUAUCAGAUUAGGUAGUUGGUGAGGUAAAGGCUCACCAAGCCGACGAUCUGUAGCUGGUCUGAGAGGACGACCAGCCACACUGGGACUGAGACACGGCCCAGACUCCUACGGGGGGCAGCAGUGGGGAAUUUUGGACAAUGGGCGCAAGCCUGAUCCAGCAAUAGCCGCGUGCAGGAUGAA
RNAcentral lists this ribosomal RNA (382 nucleotides) under uncultured bacterium. RNAcentral's name for it is "bacterial SSU rRNA". It matches the Rfam family "Bacterial small subunit ribosomal RNA", at positions 30 to 412 of the family's 1533-position model. The record is from RNAcentral.